GAUGAACGCUGGCGAGAUGCUUUACACAUGCAAGUCAUACGAGAGUUUUUAACUCAAGUGGCGGACGGGUGAGUAACACGUAAGAAUUUACCUUUAGGAGGGGGAUAACAACGAGAAAUUGUUGCUAAUACCCCAUAUGCUUUCGAGUGAAAUGGAUUUUUCCGCCUAGAGAGAAGCUUGCGCCUGAUUAGCUUGUUGGUAAGGUAAUGGCUUACCAAGGCGACGAUCAGUAUCUGGUUUGAGAGGAUGAUCAGACACACUGGAACUGAGACACGGUCCAGACUCCUACGGGAGGCAGCAGUGGGGAAUUUUCCGCAAUGGGCGAAAGCCUGACGGAGCAAUCUCGCGUGAGGGAUGACGGCCUAUGGGUUGUAAACCUCUUUUUCAGGGAGGAAUAAAUGACGUGUACCUGAAGAAUAAGCAUCGGCUAACUCCGUGCCAGCCGCCGCGGUAAU
This 455-nucleotide ribosomal RNA is filed under the name uncultured bacterium. Its description in RNAcentral is "bacterial SSU rRNA". It matches the Rfam family "Bacterial small subunit ribosomal RNA", at positions 28 to 524 of the family's 1533-position model. The record is from RNAcentral.